RNAcentral lists this long non-coding RNA (1479 nucleotides) under Anser brachyrhynchus (Pink-footed goose). RNAcentral's name for it is "lncRNA (ENSABRG00000006136.1)". The record is from RNAcentral. Lineage: Eukaryota; Metazoa; Chordata; Aves; Anseriformes; Anatidae.
CUUUGGCUGCAGAGAAAGGAGCCGUGCUGCCCGGGGACAGGCAGGAUGGGAGCGGGCAGAGGGAUGGCAGCUCCCCACGGGAUGUCUCUUUCGGAGAACUCAGCUCCCAGGGGACACAGACCAGCCUGGUGGUGGCCUUAUGAUGCAGCCACCACCGUGACACUGGGAGGGGGACGGAGGAGGACUCCCUGUCCUCCCCAUACAAAGUGGGUCCCAGCUGUGGCCCCACGAGCUCCAAAAAUCCAUCGGGCGGUGACGAAGUGCUGCCGUUCUCAGCGGGCAGGUGGAGGGACCCGCUUUGCCUUUGGGGUGGGAAACCCAGAAGGGGUGGAUGCGGGAGCCAGGCGAGCGGCACGGGGACCGAGGCGCACGGGGAGGUGCCGGCCAUUUCACGCACCAGCGGCCGCAGGGUGAGAGGAAAAGGCUGGAGCAGGGGUGAGGACAGCCCUUGGACCACAUCUCCCAGGGGAGAUGUUCAGCAGCUGGGUUACCCCUUGUCUGUACUGCAGUGGCCUUCGAAAACCACUAGUACAAGAGCAUUUUGCACUAUUUCUCUGCUCCCUCUCUCUCUUCCUCCUUCUCUUUUUCUCCCCUUUCCCUGUGAAAACUUUGUUGUUGUUGUUUUCUUUCCUUUUUUUUUUUUUUUUUUUUUUUUUUUUUUUUUUAAUUUUCCACAUUGGAUUUUGGGACUCAUUUCCCCAUGACAAGGGUCUCCGCGACUGCUGCGCUGGGAAAUCCUGCAGCAAAGGGAAGGAGAAGGAGCUGUGGGGUCUGGGCAUUGCAGCCCCGGCAUUCAAAACACGCACCUGGAGCCAUCCAAAGGAUGCGGCCAGUCUUUGGGGGAGGAUGCAGCCAAUGCAUCCCCCAAAGCUGGUCUGAGACUCUUGGGGCUGGACAGGGAGGAAGAGGGGGCCCAAGCACCAGUGGGGCCAGGACAGGAGGGACUCAGCACCAGCUCUGGUGAAGGCUCCUCUCCGUCACUGGUUGGGUGCCUUCAUAGUGUCCCGGGGGACGGCAUCCCCACCACCACCACAACCAGGCAUCCUGCAAGGAUGCUUUGCCCUAAUGAGGGCAGGACUGGCUGGCCCCCAAGUUUUGCCAAUAGACUUCCACGGAGACCCAGUGGGGCACGUUUGGAGCUGGGGGUGGAGUGCCUUCCUUUGCUGAAAAGAAGGGGGGAACGGGGGGGUGAGGAGGGGCACCAAAUGCAGAUCUCUUUCCGUCCAUGAAAAAGAAAAAGAAAAGCAGGAGUUAGGCAACCCCCGUGGUGCUGGAGGGGAGCUGGGGCUGGGGAGGGCCCCCUUGGCUCUGUGGGGCUGAAGGGGGGGGUGGAGGGGUGGCAGGAUGGAGGGGGAGCCCGUGCCAACCCCCAGGGCCACAGGCACCGUCACCGCUGUCUCCCGUCUCCUCCACUUGCCAGUCCCCAUGCAAAACCUCCCAACUGUUAUAGGCCAGUACCACCUUCCCCAGUGCCCCCCC